GACGAACGCUGGCGGCGUGCUUAACACAUGCAAGUCGAACGGAAAGGCCCUGCUUUUGUGGGGUGCUCGAGUGGCGAACGGGUGCGUAACACGUGAGUAACCUGCCCUUGACUUUGGGAUAACUUCAGGAAACUGGGGCUAAUCCCGGAUAGGAGCUCCUGCUGCAUGGUGGGGGUUGGAAAGUUUCGGCGGUUGGGGAUGGACUGGCGGCUUAUCAGCUUGUUGGUGGGGUGGUGGCUUCCCAAGGCAUGGACGGGUAGCCGGCCUGGGAGGGUGACCGGCCACAUUGGUACUGAGAUACGGCGCAGACUCCUACGGUAGGCAGCAGUGGGGAAUAUUGCACAAUGGGCGGAAGCCGGAUGCAGCAACGCCGCGGGCGGGAUGACGGCCUUCGGGGUGUAAACCGCUUUCGCCUGUGACGAAGCGGGAGUGACGGUAAUGGGUAAAGAAGCACCGGCUAACUACGUG
This 468-nucleotide ribosomal RNA is filed under the name uncultured bacterium. RNAcentral describes it as "partial 16S ribosomal RNA". It matches the Rfam family "Bacterial small subunit ribosomal RNA", at positions 28 to 507 of the family's 1533-position model. The record is from RNAcentral.